RNAcentral lists this transfer RNA (77 nucleotides) under Agarivorans albus. RNAcentral's name for it is "tRNA-Pro". It matches the Rfam family "tRNA". From Rfam's summary of the family: Transfer RNA (tRNA) molecules are approximately 80 nucleotides in length. Their secondary structure includes four short double-helical elements and three loops (D, anti-codon, and T loops). The record is from RNAcentral. Lineage: Bacteria; Pseudomonadati; Pseudomonadota; Gammaproteobacteria; Alteromonadales; Alteromonadaceae. RNAcentral also lists the same sequence under 12 other names.
CGGAACGUAGCGCAGCCUGGUAGCGCACCGUCAUGGGGUGUCGGGGGUCGGAGGUUCAAAUCCUCUCGUUCCGACCA